This 354-nucleotide transfer-messenger RNA is filed under the name Methylacidiphilales bacterium. Its description in RNAcentral is "Candidatus Methylacidiphilales bacterium transfer-messenger RNA". It matches the Rfam family "transfer-messenger RNA". Rfam says of the family: Bacterial tmRNA, also known as 10Sa RNA or SsrA, is named for its dual tRNA and mRNA-like properties. Its role is to liberate the mRNA from a stalled ribosome. Lineage: Bacteria; Pseudomonadati; Verrucomicrobiota; Methylacidiphilae; Methylacidiphilales. The record is from RNAcentral.
GGGGGCGCAUUGGCUUCGACUGGAGCAUGGUGGUGCCCGCCGCAAGUCGGGGAUUGGGUAGGUCUUCCCCGUUAAAAAGCCCGCCCAAAAAUAAAGAACAACAAUACGUUGGCUCUCGCUGCCUAAUUAACGGCACGACGUUGCCGCCCUGACCUCCACUGGGGGACGGCAACGACAUCAGUGGGGCGACUCGGCUGGUGAGUGACCGACCUUCCGCGGCGAAUUAACGUGGUGACUACGGUGUCGGGGUGAGCUGCGCCACAACCCGGCAUCCGACAAAUUCAGCGCGGACAAACUUGUAGAAGCGGUCAAGGCCUUGAUCUAGGACGCGGGUUCGACCCCCGCCGCCUCCAC